RNAcentral lists this ribosomal RNA (492 nucleotides) under uncultured bacterium. RNAcentral's name for it is "partial 16S ribosomal RNA". It matches the Rfam family "Bacterial small subunit ribosomal RNA", at positions 29 to 507 of the family's 1533-position model. The record is from RNAcentral.
AGUGAACGCUGGCGGUAGGCCUAACACAUGCAAGUCGAACGGCAGCACAGUAAGAGCUUGCUCUUACGGGUGGCGAGUGGCGGACGGGUGAGGAAUACAUCGGAAUCUACUUUUUCGUGGGGGAUAACGUAGGGAAACUUACUCUAAUACCGCAUACGACCUACGGGUGAAAGCAGGGGAUCUUCGGACCUUGCGCGAUUGAAUGAGCCGAUGUCGGAUUAGUUAGUUGGCGGGGUAAAGGCCCACCAAGGCGACGAUCCGUAGCUGGUCUGAGAGGAUGAUCAGCCACACUGGAACGGAGACACGGUCCAGACUCCUACGGGAGGCAGCAGUGGGGAAUAUGGGACAAUGGGCGCAAGCCUGAUCCAGCCAUACCGCGUGGGUGAAGAAGGCCUUCGGGUUGUAAAGCCCUUUUGUUGGGAAAGAAAAGCAGCAGGUUAAUACCCCGCUGUUCUGACGGUACCCAAAGAAUAAGCACCGGCUAACUUCGUG